Solanum lycopersicum (tomato) is the source of this 580-nucleotide non-coding RNA. Lineage: Eukaryota; Viridiplantae; Streptophyta; Magnoliopsida; Solanales; Solanaceae. The record is from RefSeq and is a predicted model, not a curated record.
GGUAAUUUUUUUUUAGAAAAUGGUUGGUAAUUUUUGAAUUGGAGAUUUUUACUUGGAUCAUUCCUUGAAUCAAACACACACCAAAAAAUAUCUUAAGCCAAAUGGCUAAAAUACACAAAAAUACUUUCAAGGUAGAAGUGAUUUACUCUCGAUCGAAGCUUAAAAUUUCUAAGUCAUUUUGUCAUAUUUUUUUUCAGUUUCAUUCGCGAUAAGAGAUUUUACUUGGUUCUUUACUGUUGCUCGCGUCCGUGCUUGUUUGGAGGAGCUGGUUUCCCUGCUUCGUCACUGUGUCAAUUUUUUUGCGCAGAAAAAGGUUCAGGUUUUAAACAUCCAUGUAACGCUUAAAUCGGUUCUCGGUCUUUAAUUCAGCAGAAUCAGUGGUAGGUCCUCAUUCUCUGAGGAUAAUAGCCAUGAGUUUCUUUUCAGUAUUUUUAGUCCUUUUGUUUCAGUUUUGCUAGACUUAGCUUAGUCUUGUCCCAACAUUUAGGCUUUUUUUAGACAGAGUUAGAUUUAUCUUAGUAUGGAGUUAAUAUCUACUUUAUAUUAAACUCUUUAGCUUUUAUAUAUCUCAGUUAUAGUA